AAAAAUCUGACCAGGUAACUUACC
This 24-nucleotide non-coding RNA is filed under the name Cricetulus griseus (Chinese hamster). The record is from RNAcentral. Lineage: Eukaryota; Metazoa; Chordata; Mammalia; Rodentia; Cricetidae.